AGAGCUUGACAAGCUCUCCGUGGACGCACCACGUCGGUCGCUUAACAAGACGGGUGUGAAAAUGUUAACUCGGGAUUUCUCUGAGAUGACAAUACGGGGAGGGUCAACCCAGCGACCUGCCCAGCAGCCGCCGUGGCUUUCAGUCCUCCGCUCCCUGACCCCGGGCACCGGCCACUCCGGUCCACCGCAACCCUGCCCGCGCUCGGUCGGACGUAGAGUUCCCGCCGCGGCCGCGGGGCUCCUCACCGAUCGUGUCCACGCGGUGCGUGAGAAGCAGGGUCCGCGAGCCACAGCGAGCGGCGGCGGCGGCCGCCUCGGUCCCCGCGUGCCCUCCUCCGAUAACUACCACGUCGAAGUGCGGGGUGCAGGGCGCCGCGCUGUCGCUGCGGAGGCGACGCAAAGGCAGCCGUCUGCCGAGGGACGCUGCGGCCCAAUGGCCACGGCCUCGGAGAAGGAACAUGUUGAGGGAAGCUAGCUAGAGACGCCCGGAACUGUCACCGGAGUAGAAGCCAGCUGGGCGUCGCCAUCUUGGCCGAGUCAGCGCGUAGCGCGCCUGCGUCCAGCGACGCUUUUGAUUGGCGGGUUGGAGCUUCGCCGCGGGGAGGUGCGCGCAGGCCCUGUGCGUUCUCCCCCCCCCUUCCUCCCCCCGCAGGUACUUUCAGCGCUGGCGGGAGAUUCUAUCUUGGAGGUUGAGGUUAGGCUUUUCCCGUGGACUUGUCUUUAUCGCCAGGUUGCCACCUAUGAACAAUAAAUUUGAUCAUUUCGCCUCAAAA
Mus musculus (house mouse) is the source of this 773-nucleotide long non-coding RNA. RefSeq annotates it as predicted gene, 17324. Lineage: Eukaryota; Metazoa; Chordata; Mammalia; Rodentia; Muridae. The record is from RefSeq and is marked validated. The transcript has a single exon.